AGAGUUUGAUCAUGGCUCAGAUUGAACGCUGGCGGCAGGCCUAACACAUGCAAGUCGAACGGUAACAGGAAACAGCUUGCUGUUUCGCUGACGAGUGGCGGACGGGUGAGUAAUGUCUGGGAACUGCCUGAUGGAGGGGGAUAACUACUGGAAACGGUAGCUAAUACCGCAUAACGUCGCAAGACCAAAGAGGGGGGCCCUCGGGCCUCUUGCCAUCGGAUGUGCCCAGAUGGGAUUAGCUUGUUGGUGGGGUAACGGCUCACCAAGGCGACGAUCCCUAGCUGGUCUGAGAGGAUGACCAGCCACACUGGAACUGAGACACGGUCCAGACUCCUACGGGAGGCAGCAGUGGGGAAUAUUGCACAAUGGGCGCAAGCCUGAUGCAGCCAUGCCGCGUGUAUGAAGAAGGCCUUCGGGUUGUAAAGUACUUUCAGCGGGGAGGAAGGGAGUAAAGUUAAUACCUUUGCUCAUUGACGUUACCCGCAGAAGAAGCACCGGCUAACUCCGUGCCAGCAGCCGCGGUAAUACGGAGGGUGCAAGCGUUAAUCGGAAUUACUGGGCGUAAAGCGCACGCAGGCGGUUUGUUAAGUCAGAUGUGAAAUCCCCGGGCUCAACCUGGGAACUGCAUCUGAUACUGGCAAGCUUGAGUCUCGUAGAGGGGGGUAGAAUUCCAGGUGUAGCGGUGAAAUGCGUAGAGAUCUGGAGGAAUACCGGUGGCGAAGGCGGCCCCCUGGACGAAGACUGACGCUCAGGUGCGAAAGCGUGGGGAGCAAACAGGAUUAGAUACACUGGUAGUCCACGCCGUAAACGAUGUCGACUUGGAGGUUGUGCCCUUGAGGCGUGGCUUCCGGAGCUAACGCGUUAAGUCGACCGCCUGGGGAGUACGGCCGCAAGGUUAAAACUCAAAUGAAUUGACGGGGGCCCGCACAAGCGGUGGAGCAUGUGGUUUAAUUCGAUGCAACGCGAAGAACCUUACCUGGUCUUGACAUCCACGGAAGUUUUCAGAGAUGAGAAUGUGCCUUCGGGAACCGUGAGACAGGUGCUGCAUGGCUGUCGUCAGCUCGUGUUGUGAAAUGUUGGGUUAAGUCCCGCGACGAGCGCAACCCUUAUCCUUUGUUGCCAGCGGUCCGGCCGGGAACUCAAAGGAGACUGCCAGUGAUAAACUGGAGGAAGGUGGGGAUGACGUCAAGUCAUCAUGGCCCUUACGACCAGGGCUACACACGUGCUACAAUGGCGCAUACAAAGAGAAGCGACCUCGCGAGAGCAAGCGGACCUCAUAAAGUGCGUCGUAGUCCGGAUUGGAGUCUGCAACUCGACUCCAUGAAGUCGGAAUCGCUAGUAAUCGUGGAUCAGAAUGCCACGGUGAAUACGUUCCCGGGCCUUGUACACACCGCCCGUCACACCAUGGGAGUGGGUUGCAAAAGAAGUAGGUAGCUUAACCUUCGGGAGGGCGCUUACCACUUUGUGAUUCAUGACUGGGGUGAAGUCGCAACGAGGUA
Molecule: ribosomal RNA, 1499 nt
Filed under: metagenome
Description: bacterial SSU rRNA
Rfam family: Bacterial small subunit ribosomal RNA
Source: RNAcentral